Molecule: long non-coding RNA, 998 nt
Organism: Solanum dulcamara
Lineage: Eukaryota; Viridiplantae; Streptophyta; Magnoliopsida; Solanales; Solanaceae
Exons: 3
Source: RefSeq, a predicted model, not a curated record
GAUAUAUUUCUCUCUCUACCUCACCGCUCCUCCUUCUCUCUACAAUUCCUCUUCUCUUCUCUUUUGUACAUUCUUCUUCAUCUUUAUUCUUUGUUCUUCUUCUUCCUUCUGCUACUACUUUUCUCUUCUCAGGUUUAACUCCACUGGUGGAGUUAUCAAUAUCCUCAACUCAAUCAGAAAUAGCUAUGCCCAAAAUCAGAAAUAGGCUCCCUCUUUGUUUUUACAUUCUCUGUGUUGUUUUUGCAAUGAUGAAUCUAUCGUAGUUUGAAUUAAGUUCCCUAUUUCUCCAUCAUCGGAGUCCUCAGAGAUUUCAUCUUUCGAAAAGAUAGCAUUAGCCCACUCCAUAAGCAGUGACAAUCUAGUGACAAAUCAGGUAGAGAUAAUGUUAAAACGUGAAAUUGUUGAGGUAUUUGAGGAGACACAUAAGAAAAGAAAGAUGGAAGGUACAAGGGCAGAAUAGAUAGAGUCACGUGCAGAGGAGAUAUUUGAUGCCACAAAAGAAAAGAAAUAUGAGAAAUAGAAAGAAAGAAACAUAACAAUUUAAGCAUCAGUGCUUGAAGCUGAUUCAGCUAUCAAAUGUAUACCAAAUCCAGGAUUUAUAACUUGAUGGAGAAGACUCUCAAGGUUUACAUCUAUACUGAAGGGGAAAGACCCAUAUUCCAUUCUGGACCACUUGAUGGAAUAAAUGCUUCAGAGGGCUGGUUCAUAAAGCUGCUUCAAGAAAACAAAGAAUUUGUUAGUAAAAAUUUCAAAAAAGCAGAUCUGAUGGUGAAGAAGAGACUGAUUAUAAUGAUGAUAUUUAGAUUUGUUUUAGACUAUUUACUUGCGAUUUCAAAUACAGUUGAAUACUUAGACUCCACCUUCUGUUUUGAUGGUGUCUGAAUUUCUAGGCUCAAUUAUAUUGAAUGAAUUUAAAUGUUUAGAAAUGUAUGUGAUGUUUGCUUGUAUUGUUCAGUUUUUUAUGGAUGGAUGGUAAUAUAAUUUAGCAGGUGGUAUAU